CAACCUGCCGUCUACUCUUGGACAGCCUUCUGAAAGGAAGAUUAAUACAAGUUGGCAUCAUGAGUCCGCAUGUUCACAUGAUUAAAGAUAUUCCGGUAGACGAUGGGGAUGCGUUCCAUUAGAUAGUAGGCGGGGUAACGGCCCACCUAGUCUUCGAUGGAUAGGGGUUCUGAGAGGAAGAUCCCCCACAUUGGAACUGAGACACGGUCCAAACUCCUACGGGAGGCAGCAGUGAGGAAUAUUGGUCAAUGGGCGAGAGCCUGAACCAGCCAAGUAGCGUGAAGGAUGACUGCCCUAUGGGUUGUAAACUUCUUUUAUAAAGGAAUAAAGUCGGGUAUGGAUACCCGUUUGCAUGUACUUUAUGAAUAAGGAUCGGCUAACUCCGUGCCAGCAGCCGCGGUAAUACGGAGGAUCCGAGCGUUAUCCGGAUUUAUUGGGUUUAAAGGGAGCGUAGAUGGAUGUUUAAGUCAGUUGUGAAAGUUUGCGGCUCAACCGUAAAAUUGCAGUUGAUACUGGAUAUCUUGAGUGCAGUUGAGGCAGGCGGAAUUCGUGGUGUAGCGGUGAAAUGCUUAGAUAUCACGAAGAACUCCGAUUG
Molecule: ribosomal RNA, 595 nt
Filed under: uncultured Bacteroidota bacterium
Lineage: Bacteria; Pseudomonadati; Bacteroidota
Description: bacterial SSU rRNA
Rfam family: Bacterial small subunit ribosomal RNA
Source: RNAcentral